This is a long non-coding RNA of Triticum aestivum (bread wheat), 2746 nucleotides long. RefSeq lists it as uncharacterized. The record is from RefSeq and is a predicted model, not a curated record. NCBI's taxonomy places the organism in Eukaryota, Viridiplantae, Streptophyta, Magnoliopsida, Poales, Poaceae. The transcript has 7 exons.
AUAAUCCUGGGAUCAACCAGGAUUAGACCAUAACGGCCAGGAAGUGAAUCCUAGCGCCUGUCAUUAGCGCCGGCGUUGUACAUGCCCUUAGGGUAAGGACGUGCAUCCCCUUCCAACAGAUCAAUUUCGCUCGUCGCUCUUCAAGCGCUGAUUUGUUCUUCCCUUUCUCUUCUUAUUUUCUUGUUGUUCAUACAACCGCUGCUGCCGGUUUCCUGCUUCUGCCUCUUCCGUAUGCCUGUCCGCACCGUUUGUUCCAAGAAGCGAAGGCGGAGGUGGAGAUGCGGGAGAGGCCGAGUCCGAGGUGGCAGAGGACGGGCGAUGAAAAUGGCACAGAGUGGUCGCGGGCUCAUUCCGGCGGCCGGCGCACGCAGCCGUGAGGGGUGGGGUGGAUGAGCAAGGGGCGCCGCCGCCGCUGCCUCGUGCGUGCGGGCGAGAAGAUUUGUUGAUGGUGGAAUGGACGGUACUUUAUUAUGUGACGUUCUUGGAUAAAAGAUUUGGUUCAGCUUAGUAUUACUUCUGUUACCAACUUCUUUUCAUGAAAGCCAUUCAUUUUGGCAAGGCCCCAUCACACCUGGCAAUUAUAUUGGUUGCGUGGGAGAAAUUGAAGUUACAGGCCAUAAUUCCCAUGGCUAAGCUGCCCUACAACAGUCUAGAGCUCGGUCGGAUGGAGCAGUUGGGGAGGAGUGGCGGAUGCGCGGGGCAUCGCCGGCCAGAGAGGACGGGAGGAGCAUAUGCCAGCGAGGGAGGCGGCUCGGCUUGGACCGGCCAUGGCGCCGGCGCUGCUAACUCCCACGGGCCUCUCAUUCCCCAUCUCUUCUGGAAGUGAUGAAUCAAGCAAGGAGGAAGGGCGUAGUGUUGGAUAUUUGACCAGGCGACAUAUAUGGAUGCCUCUGUUCUGAAUAAACAAUAUUUACUUGAACCUAUAUGGUCUGAAUAAAGUUUACACUGCCAAUAUUUUGCCUUGACCUGCCAAGGUAUGAACUAAAACAUCAAUAUCACUCGAACCUAAUCAUGUCAGGGUCUAAAUUAUUGCCUAUCUGCCAAUAUAAUAGCAUGCUAGAUGUUCUUAGAUUCAAUCCAAAAAAGCUUUGUUUGUGUUCCUGUCAAUUUUAGACGUGCAGGUAGCUUGAUAACUUGCUUUUCUUUUUGUUCAGUACAUAUAUACAGUUACACCAUAACCUCACCAAUUUGCUCUGAUUAAAUUAGCAAACCUGAAGCAUGUAAGGAUUCAUGUGAGUGAAAGUUCACUUUCUUUCAGGAGAAAAGAACUUUUAGUUAAUACCAGUCGAAUUUGGUAAGGCCAAUAAUUAUAUCCUUUCAUAAUCAUCAGGUUUGCUACACUUAGUCAUAAUAAAGUAUUCUAUUUUUUCUUUUGCACAGUGGCAUUGCAAUGGAUAUUGUUCUUUUACUAGCAGUGUGCUGAGUGUGCAUGCAAAGUACAGGUCAUUUUGAGUGGCAAGGGUUGAGAAUUACCAUAAUGUUAAUAUGUUGAAGAACCUUAUAAAAUAUAUAAUUAUAUAUUUGACACUUUUUAUACUGAUUCAAGUGAAAAAUGUCAUAAUUCUAACAGAUAUUUGCAUCUGCGCCAAGUGCGGCAUGCAGUCAUCCUCAUCCUGUCCUGAACGUACCAUGUACUCUGUAUUGAGAAAAGACUAGGGAGUUAAGAAUACCAUGUGGCACCGGAGCAGCCUAAGGGCCAUUAGUUGGGAAUAAGAUGCACUGGAUAUCUGAGUUUAAGUGGUAGCUUUGCACUUUGCAGUAUGGUGAUGUCACUCUUGGUGUGAUGGUCACUCAUCGAGCGUGUCAACUACUCAUAAAUAGCUCUAUCCAGCAAAUUUUCUUUAGAUUUUGCUCUAUUCUAUUGAUCAGAUUUGCCAAGUCAUUUUUCCUUCGAGGUAUUUAGCAUUGCCAAAUUUAUAUAUUUACCUAAAUUUAAUCGUGACCCGAUUUGCUCUGGUCAAUACAUGCAUGAUGCCUUUUCUUUUCUAUAAAGUAGAUGCAGGGUUAUUUUACCUUUUAGACUCUGAGUUAGAUUAGCCGCACCUGUGUAUAUGUUUGAUAGAUGAGCUGUGUCAGGUUGUAGGUACUGCUAAGCACAAAGCUAUAGUUGGAUAUAAUAUUGGAUUUACAAUUAUUUUAUGCAAAAGAUUUCUGGUUAGUUGUAAAAUUCAUAAUAUUCCAGUAUAUUUCAAAUUUUGUUUCAUAGAGAAGCUCCAUCAUUGGAACCAGUAUAUGUCUGCUGAUAAAACCCUUUUGUAUGAUCAUGGUUUUUAGGAAUUGAUAUUCCAAUCAAUCUGCUGAUGCGGUAUUUGUGGGAGAUGAAGAGCAGCGACGGGUUUAAUCUAGGGGCCGUCUUUCUCGAGCUACAUUCAUGCUUCACAGCAGUUCACCUUCCCACAAUUUCUCAGGUUGCACAUCUGCUGGCCGAUGUGAUUAUGGAUGCCUUGUAUCUUGCAGUUCUUUCUAACCGAGUAUUAUUGCAGAUUCCAAAAUAGGACUAACUUCUGCUUAUUUUCUAAUCUAUUCAUUGUACCUCAAGGUGAACCAAUCUAUCCCACGAGAGCAUAUUUUUCUUAAUUCUACAAUAGAGGAUGUCGUGGUUUUCGAUUUUUGCUUUAAUGUGGGCUGGUUAGGAACUACAGUAAAUGUUUUUCCUGAAAGCUAAUGUUGUUGCACAAUUUCCUUUUUACCGUUUCAUUUUUAUUGUGAGAAAAAUGAUGCUUUUCAUAAAUUGUGCUAAUGUGAA